Molecule: ribosomal RNA, 253 nt
Filed under: uncultured bacterium
Lineage: Bacteria
Description: partial 16S ribosomal RNA
Rfam family: Bacterial small subunit ribosomal RNA
Source: RNAcentral
GACAGAGGAUGCAAGCGUUAUCCGGAAUGAUUGGGCGUAAAGCGUCUGUAGGUGGCUUUUUAAGUCUGCCGUCAAAUCCCAGGGCUUAACCCUGGACAGGCGGCGGAAACUACCAAGCUGGAGUACGGUAGGGGCAGGGGGAAUUUCCGGUGGAGCGGUGAAAUGCGUAGAGAUCGGAAAGAACACCAACGGCGAAAGCACUCUGCUGGGCCGACACUGACACUGAGAGACGAAAGCUAGGGGAGCGAAUGGG